UGGAGAUGCUAUGAAUGCUAAAUGAGAAACUGCUAAUGCUAGCACGACCAAGACUCAGACUAAAGAGAAACUGACGAGUUCCGGACUGCUCUAGUGAGCGAAUUGCUUUGAGUUGUUCUGUUUGAUACAAGACUCCGAUUGGUUUUUUUGAAUUGCUGGAUCUACAUCGGAGUGACAGCGUUGAUGUCAAGGAGGAUUCGGCCUGAUUCAAGGCGGGAUUGAAAACGACCAUUUUUCUUCAACUUCAACCAACUUUUGGAGCAUUACCCUGGGAGCAGAUAAGCUCACCUUCACUACAACAUCUUUCAUACAAUAUACAGUCACACUACCCGGGUAGUACACACAUACACUGAAUAGGAGACGGACAUUGAAGCACGGCAGCAAUUGGCUGUGAAGGGACGAUUCGACCAAGUAAUAUUUUUUAUUUACAUGGUUCAGGUGUUGUUUUAUAUAUAUAUAUAUAUAUAUAUAUAUAUAUAUAUAUAUAUAUAUAUGUGUUGUAUAAUAGUUUAAUAAAUGUCGUGUUGUAUAUUUUUCCUAGUCGCUCUUGCUCCUUGAGUCGAACCUAGGUAUAAUAAGGUGUUCCAUUCGUAGCAGCACCAAAAGAAAAUUACCGUGUUACACACACACAUAUAUAUAUAUAUAUUUUUUUUUUAAAAUAGUGCCCCCCACCCCACCCCAGUAUCAGAUCGGGUCGCUGUAUCUGCAGAUUCUCAAAAUCAGGUUACUUUGACAUCCCUACUUUGUGUUAAUGUAUAAUAAAUGAAGUGUAAGUAGUUUGUUAGGCUUGUUCUACCGACGUUAUCAUGUGACUAUUCAAACUCAUAGCAAGCUAAUAGGAGGGCUAAAAGAUUAACUAACAUUUAAAAAAAAACGAAAAAAAAACUCCACUAUGGGAUCGGGACUCUGUAUCGGCAGAUUCUCAAAACCAGGUGACUCAGACUCAGGUGUGAAAAUAUAGAAUAGAAUAGCCCUUUAUUGUCAUUAUACGGUUGUACAAUGAAAUUGGGGAGCAUCUCCCUUUACGGUGCAGGACAAGUAAAAGUAAAAAAUCUCGAAGUGGUUUGCAAGAGUAAGUAUAAAAUCUAAAUAAAUAUAAAAUAUGUAUGAGGUAGUCCUAUGUUCAGACAGUGCAAAUAAUUGAAGUGAAGUAGCAGCAGUUGACAAUGAAGGCAUUGAAUAUUGCAGAUUUAUAUUGCACGUAAGUAAGUAUUGCACAUAGAAUAUGUGUGAGUAGAAGUUGACAGUGAGGCAUUGAAUAUUGCACUUAGUAAGUAUUGCACAUAGUAUAUUGCAUGUAAAUGAAUAUUGGACAUUGGGUGAUGUGGUGUUAAAUAUGGCUGUUCGGGGUGGAGAUGGCUUUAGCGAUCGGGGCAUCCCUACUCUGUGUAUUUAAUGUAUGUCAUUAAGUAGUUUGAUAGAUCAUUCUAGUGACGUUAUCACAUGACUACUCAAGCUGAUAGCAAGCACGGAGUUCUAAAAGACGAGCUAACUUUGGCAUUUCAUCUCUCUGUUUGUGCCUUAAAAAGUUCUAUUCUCUUGUUUCAUAUACAUCAGCAUUGCGGUGUGUAUAUUUUGAUUGUUUACAUUCCGAAGGAGUUACAUUGCAUUGCUGUGAGUGGGAAUGCUCUAUUACAGUACAUAUUAUUUUUCGUAUGAUGAUUCAUAGACUUCAUAACCUAUUGACAUGACAUGGGAAACGGGGCCGAUUCGUAAAGGGCUAUUUUCUAAAAAACUUCAAAUUAAAAUAUUUAUAAAACCAAAGCUGCUACCAACCUAAAACCAAAACAAGCACCUACGUUCGCCAUAUAUGAGUCUCCAUGAGCAGCGGCAUCAAAAAAUUCAAAGUCGUCCCCUUAGUAAAAUCCUGAUUAAUUAUUUUCUAUAUAAGUAUAACACAACUUAAAAUGGCUAUAAAAGUCUCAGAUUUUACACUAGAUGCACACAAAUCACCAAAUGCAGAGAUAAUCACCUAUAUUUUCAGGAUCAAUAGCAAUAUUUAACAUACACGUUUUUGACCAAAAUUGCAAAUAAUUUUUUUUUUGUUUACUGCAAGUUUUCAACAGCUAAUAAAUCACUCAAUUUAACAUCAGAAACUUAAUACUUGAGGAAAACAUGCAGAAUAAAUCAUAAAUAAUAUGUAAAUUGAUCAUUAAUAAAUUCUAUAUACAAUCACAACUUGUUAUAGAAUAGAAUAGCCCUUUUUUUAUCAUUAUACACUAUAUACUGUUAGCGAAUGAGGCUAGCGGCCGCCUGGCGUAAACAGAGCUUUUCUGGCAAAAAUUCUUGUGAAUAAAUGCUUAAAUCCCCGAAUUCUUCAUAGAUAUGGAUGUAAAACAGUCUUGAUUCUUGGUUAUAAGCAAAGAAAACAUACAAUUAGCGUUUAUUUUACGUAUAAUGACGAAGUACCAUGCUACUAUGUUAGCGAAUGAGGCUAGCGGCCGCCUGCCGUAAAAGGAGCUUUUCUGGCAAAAAUUCUUGUGAAUAAAUGUUUAAAUCCCCAAAUUCUUCAUAGAUAUGGACUAGGGCUUUCAAAAUGAUCGCGUUAACGGGCGGUAAUUAUUUUUUUAAAUUAAUCACGUUUAAAUAUUUGACGCAAUUAACGCACAUGCCCCGCUCAAACUGAUUAAAAUGACAGCACAGUGUCAUGUCCACUUGUUACUUGUGUUUUUUUGGUGUUUUGUCGCCCUCUGCUGGCGCUUGGGUGCGACUGAUUUUGUGAGUUUCAGCACGAUGAGCAUUGUGUAAUUAUUGACAUCAACAAUGGCGAGCUGCGAGUUUGUUUUUUAAAUGAAAAUUUACAAAUUUUAUCAAAACGAAAACAUUAAGAGGGGUUUUAAUAUAAAAUUUCUUUAACUUGUACUAACAUUUAUCUUUUAAGAACUACAAUUCUUUCUAUCCAUGGAUCGCUUUAACAGAAUGUUCAUAAUGCCAUCUUGUUGAUUUAUUGUUAUAAUAAACAAAUACAGUACUUAUGUACCGUAUGUUGAAUGUAUAUACAUUCAUCUUGUGUCUUAUCUUUCCAUUCCAACAAUAAUUUACAGAAAAAUAUGGCAUAUUUUAUAGAUGGUUUGAAUUGCGACUAAUUACGAUUAAUAAAUUUUUAAGCUGUGAUUAACUCGAUUAAAAAUUUUAAUCCUUUGACAGCCCUAAUAUGGACGUAAAACAGUCUCGAUUCUUGGUUAAAAAGCAAAGAAACCGUGCAGGUAGCAUUUAUUUCGCGUAAAACUAUGCCAACUAUGAGGCUAGGAAGUUACGAAAAUUAGCCGCUUCCAUGUGUAAGCAAAGAAGAAAAUUCCUGCGAAGAAAUGCUUCAAUCACGCAUGCAUGGUACGAAAAAUAUAAUAUUUACCUAGAAUCCUCAAACAAAUCACUCCUGAGACAAUUCUUCCUGUUUGCACACGGUACAGCUUUCGUAGUUAAAUCCAAUCGUAAGUAAAUCCAAGUUUAAAUCCAACAUGAGCGUGUGCCGUCUUCGGCUAUUGCUAAAUGAAGCUCGGCCCCCUCUGAUAAAGUGUGAUGCAAUGAAUGACGAAGUUUCAGGUCAAUAGAUUUUUGAAGUCUAUGGAAGAUUAAUUCUUCAUAGUAUGAAGCAAAGAAGCGAAGGGGGGAUCGUAAAAUGAAUUUUUUGUGUACCGACGCUUUUGUAUCCCGAGCAGGGGUCGCGUUAACCCAAUAUUUUCUGUCGUUGGCCGGUUUUCUAAAACGGUGCAAGAAAAACUGAAGUCCAUCUGUCAUUUUGACAGGUUGCAAUUCAAACCCCAGACCACAGGGUGGUGAGUGAGCAUAUUAAUCAGCUAUUGUCUCUCCUGAUGCAUGAUGUCGUUGGCCUUACUCGAAAAAAUGUCAAGGCAACUGAGUGUCCGAACUAAGGCUACAUUCAUACUACAGGUCUUAAUGCACGAAUCCGAUUUUUUCGUGUUUUUCAGACUCGAGUGAGGCAUUAAUUUGAAGGUCUGAACGUGACAAGUCGCAUAGAACGGCACCAUUUCAAAUCCGAUCUGGGUCACUUUCGUAUGUGGUCUAAAUCUGAUCUGGGCCACAUUUUUUCAGACUGUCGCGGCGGUCUGUACUGUCCAGUCCCGCAAAUCGGAUUUAAUGCAGCAAUUACGUCAUCAAGAGAGACGGUACGGUAGCUACG
Molecule: long non-coding RNA, 4141 nt
Organism: Corythoichthys intestinalis (scribbled pipefish)
Lineage: Eukaryota; Metazoa; Chordata; Actinopteri; Syngnathiformes; Syngnathidae
Exons: 3
Source: RefSeq, a predicted model, not a curated record